UAGUCCACGCCGUAAACGAUGAGUGCUAGCCGUUGGGGGGUUACCCUUCAGUGGCGCAGCUAACGCAUUAAGCACUCCGCCUGGGGAGUACGGUCGCAAGAUUAAAACUCAAAGGAAUUGACGGGGACCCGCACAAGCGGUGGAACAUGUGGUUUAAUUCGAGGCAACGCGAAGAACCUUACCAGGGCUUGACUUGCCUGUCGCGGACUCCAGAAAAGGAGUCCUUCAGUUCGGCUGGACAGUGCACAGGUGCUGCAUGGCUGUCGUCAGCUCGUGUCGUGAGAUGUUGGGUUAAGUCCCGCAACGAGCGCAACCCUCAUCCUCUGUUGCUAACAGGUUAUGCUGAGAACUCUGAGAAACUGCCGGUGAUAAGCCGGAGGAAGGUGGGGGAUGACGUCAAGUCCUCAUGGCCCUUACGCCCUGGGGCUACACACGUGUUACAA
This 443-nucleotide ribosomal RNA is filed under the name uncultured bacterium. Its description in RNAcentral is "bacterial SSU rRNA". It matches the Rfam family "Bacterial small subunit ribosomal RNA", at positions 791 to 1230 of the family's 1533-position model. The record is from RNAcentral.